This 324-nucleotide ribosomal RNA is filed under the name uncultured eukaryote. Its description in RNAcentral is "partial 18S ribosomal RNA". It matches the Rfam family "Eukaryotic small subunit ribosomal RNA", at positions 1470 to 1796 of the family's 1831-position model. The record is from RNAcentral.
CCCUUAGAUGUUCUGGGCUGCACGCGCGCUACACUGAUGCGAUCAACAAGUUUUUCCUAUGUCGAUAGACACGGGUAAUCUUUUGAACUCGCAUCGUGAUGGGGAUAGAUUAUUGUAAUUAUUAAUCUUCAACGAGGAAUUCCUAGUAGGUGCAAAUCAUCAGUUUGCAUCGAUUACGUCCCUGCCCUUUGUACACACCGCCCGUCGCUGCUACCGAUUGGUUGAUCUGGUGAAUUAUUCGGACUGCCGGCUGAAGGGGUUUCCUCAUCUGCCAGCGGAAAGUCUUGUAAACCCUAUCAACUAGAGGAAGCAGAAGUCGUAACA